Molecule: ribosomal RNA, 517 nt
Filed under: Bufo japonicus (Japanese toad)
Lineage: Eukaryota; Metazoa; Chordata; Amphibia; Anura; Bufonidae
Description: partial 16S ribosomal RNA
Rfam family: Bacterial large subunit ribosomal RNA
Source: RNAcentral
UGAAUUACUAUAAGAGGUCCAGCCUGCCCAGUGACCCUGUUCAACGGCCGCGGUAUCCUAACCGUGCGAAGGUAGCGUAAUCACUUGUUCUCUAAAUGUGGACUAGUAUGAAUGGCAUCACGAAGGUUAUACUGUCUCCUUUUUCUAAUCAGUGAAACUAAUCUCCCCGUGAAGAAGCGGGGAUGACGCUAUAAGACGAGAAGACCCUAUGGAGCUUAAAACAAUGCAGCAUCUGCCCCAUAAUACUGAAAUUUCCGAAUUUAAACUUCACUGGACAGUGUGACUGCAAGUUUUUGGUUGGGGUGACCACGGAGCAUAACAUAACCUCCACGCUGAAAGAAUACCUCUAAGCUAAGAACCACAAAUCUAAGCAUCAAUAAAUUGACAUCCAUUGACCCAAUAUACUUGAACAACGAACCAAGUUACCCUAGGGAUAACAGCGCAAUCCACUUCAAAAGCCCCUAUCGACAAGUGGGUUUACGACCUCGAUGUUGGAUCAGGGUUUCCCAGUGGUGCA